AUACGGAGGGUGCGAGCGUUAAUCGGAAUUACUGGGCGUAAAGCGCGCGUAGGCGGUUUGUUAAGUCGGAUGUGAAAUCCCCGGGCUCAACCUGGGACCUGCAUCCGAUACUGGCAGGCUAGAGUCUGGUAGAGGGGGGUAGAAUUCCUGGUGUAGCGGUGAAAUGCGUAGAUAUCAGGAGGAAUACCAGUGGUGAAGGCGGCCCCCUGGACUGAGACUGACGCUGAGGUGCGAAAGCGUGGGGAGCAAACAGGAUUAGAUACCCUAGUAGUCC
RNAcentral lists this ribosomal RNA (274 nucleotides) under uncultured bacterium. Its description in RNAcentral is "partial 16S ribosomal RNA". It matches the Rfam family "Bacterial small subunit ribosomal RNA", at positions 523 to 796 of the family's 1533-position model. The record is from RNAcentral.